Molecule: long non-coding RNA, 1177 nt
Organism: Salmo salar (Atlantic salmon)
Lineage: Eukaryota; Metazoa; Chordata; Actinopteri; Salmoniformes; Salmonidae
Source: RefSeq, a predicted model, not a curated record
AAGAGGACUCAUGCCAAAGGCAUUUCCUCUAUUUGAUUCCACCAGGGAGAGAAGAGAACCAGCAAGCUACAACAGUGAGCAGAUUAAAGUAGUUGUCACUUCCAUCUGAGGGGAUGUCAGAGGGAGCCUUUCCGCAAUAAUCCACCGGAAUGCAGAGACUGGCCCUUGGGAGCCAUACAGAGCAUGGUUCCAGGACAUGUCCAGGCCCAUCACCCAUGACCAACCGUGUGAUAUCCUGAAGCAAGGCCCCAAAGACCAACAGUGCGACAUCCUGAAGCAAGGUCACUGGAGCAAUCCAUUGGAAAGAUCAUUCCAUCAUCCAGCCUGUCCUGAAGUUGUCAGGGGCCUCAUUUAUAAAUGUUGUGUACGAAUAAAAUAUGCCCCAAAAUGUGCGUGCGCCAGUUCAUGCAAAAGUUAGCUUUUGUAAAAACUGAAUGUGCUUAUCCUCCCGCAAACUUUAGACCAUGCGUUCGCAGUUUCUAGUGGUUGAAGUAUUGCUUGGCAAGAAGGCAAAAGUAGCCUAGUAGUAGCCUUGUCCUUGUGAAAAUUGGGACUCUAUGAUGACACUCUUAUUAAAAAAAAAAAGUAAUAAACAGGUAGCUAAAUAUAAUAAGAUGCAAUCAUUGGCCAUUAGUGAGAAGAGCGAAAAUCUAUUUAUUUUAUCUUGGCUUUCUAAACUAAUUAGAAAUAGGCAUGUAUUUCCAAUAAUGUAUUUAAUUUCCAUGAUCGUUGCAGAAUACAUUUCUCAACAUUUCUGGCCAUGAUGAGUUCAUACUGUAUUCCUGAAGUAGCCACACAACAAAUGACCAUGCACAUCGCUCGUUUAAUUGGACCUAUUACAUACGCUAUUAUAAUUUAAAGCAAUGUCAUACAUCUGGCGGGGAGCUUGGUUUAUAAUAUACAGUAGAAUUUAGCAGGUGAACGGACACUUGAUCUUUUGCAUUGAAGUGUGUAGGCUACCACUGUAAGUAGGCCUAGGGCCUACUGUAGUUUUCAUUCUUUUUAGAGCAGACAAUGUUUCAGAAUUCUCAGACAGCGCAGCAUAUUCACAUUCUGGAAAAUGUUUUUGUCUUUCAGAAAUGGUCAGAUAGGCCUACAGCAAAUGUCACUGCAAAAGAAAACAUUCUGCCAACACCUCCAAAGACAUUUGAUCAUGUUUGCCAUGCAUUGCUAUUUC